Molecule: transfer RNA, 72 nt
Filed under: Ovis aries (sheep)
Lineage: Eukaryota; Metazoa; Chordata; Mammalia; Artiodactyla; Bovidae
Rfam family: tRNA
About the family: Transfer RNA (tRNA) molecules are approximately 80 nucleotides in length. Their secondary structure includes four short double-helical elements and three loops (D, anti-codon, and T loops).
Source: Rfam by way of RNAcentral
UCCAUGAUGGCUCAGAGCUUAAAGCAUCUGCCUGCAAUGCAGGAGACCUGGGUUUGAUCCCUUGGUCUGGAA